Brassica napus (rape) is the source of this 451-nucleotide long non-coding RNA. RefSeq lists it as uncharacterized. The record is from RefSeq and is a predicted model, not a curated record. The transcript is spliced from 2 exons. NCBI's taxonomy places the organism in Eukaryota, Viridiplantae, Streptophyta, Magnoliopsida, Brassicales, Brassicaceae.
AAUUCACCUUGCUUCUUAAUGUUUCUGGAGUCCCAAAAACGCAGGAGGCGAGCCACGACGAACUGAGCAGAUCGACCCAGGCGGAGAUCGUCGAACGAUGUCGGGGCAACAACGGCGGGAGCGGAGGAAGCCAUCUUUGAGAGAAUCUUUGGAAGCGGAGAAAAAAAAUUUUAAGUGAGAGUGAUUGAGAGCGAUCCCCACAGCCUCAUCCAUCUCCUAUUUAUAGAAUUAAGAAUUAUCAGACGAAGAAUACCGAAACGUUACAGAGUUUAUUGUAAUUAAGACACAGUUAAAGAAUACAUUGAAGGUGGAGGAAGGUAAAGAGAUGAGAAGGGGUGGCUUUACAAAAAAACAGAAUCAAAAUCGGCGACUUCAACAAUGGAAGAAGAAGACGACGACGCCCUAGAACAAAACCCGUCGUUUUCUUUCAAUUAUUCCCGUGAAUUAUUCA